GACGGAGGAUGCAAGCGUUAUCCGGAAUGAUUGGGCGUAAAGCGUCCGCAGGUGGCAGUUCAAGUCUGCUGUCAAAGACCGGGGCUUAACUUCGGAAAGGCAGUGGAAACUGAACAGCUAGAGUAUGGUAGGGGCAGAGGGAAUUCCUGGUGUAGCGGUGAAAUGCGUAGAGAUUGGGAAGAACACCGGUGGCGAAAGCGCUCUGCUGGGUCAUAUCUGACACUGAGGGACGAAGGCUAGGGGAGCGAAAGGG
This 253-nucleotide ribosomal RNA is filed under the name uncultured bacterium. Its description in RNAcentral is "partial 16S ribosomal RNA". It matches the Rfam family "Bacterial small subunit ribosomal RNA", at positions 524 to 776 of the family's 1533-position model. The record is from RNAcentral.